This 483-nucleotide ribosomal RNA is filed under the name uncultured Bacteroidota bacterium. RNAcentral describes it as "bacterial SSU rRNA". It matches the Rfam family "Bacterial small subunit ribosomal RNA", at positions 224 to 704 of the family's 1533-position model. The record is from RNAcentral. Lineage: Bacteria; Pseudomonadati; Bacteroidota.
GAUGGGCGUGCGCCUGAUUAGGUAGUUGGCGGGGUAAUGGCCCACCAAGCCUACGAUCAGUAACUGGUGUGAGAGCACGACCAGUCACACGGGCACUGAGACACGGGCCCGACUCCUACGGGAGGCAGCAGUAAGGAAUAUUGGUCAAUGGACGCAAGUCUGAACCAGCCAUGCCGCGUGGAGGAUGAAGGUCCUCUGGAUUGUAAACUUCUUUCAUCGGAGAAGAAACCCGACCUUUCUAGGGCGGUUGACGGUACCCGAUGAAUAAGCACCGGCUAACUCCGUGCCAGCAGCCGCGGUAAUACGGAGGGUGCAAGCGUUAUCCGGAUUCACUGGGUUUAAAGGGUGCGUAGGUGGGCUGGUAAGUCAGUGGUGAAAUCUCCGGGCUUAACUCGGAAACUGCCGUUGAUACUAUCAGUCUUGAAUGUUGUGGAGGUAAGCGGAAUAUGUCAUGUAGCGGUGAAAUGCUUAGAUAUGACAUAG